CCUCCAGAUACUCAUUUCUGGGUGUAUGAAGAUGGUACAUAUGAGGAGGAAGGGUAGAAUAACAUUAAAGGAAACAUAUGGGGAAAGGCAUCCACCCGUUUCAUUUGUUCAUUAUUCUCAUUGCCUGUACCAUCUCGUAAUCAAAAUGGGGCAAUAUAAGAGCCUAUGACACAACCUUCAAGUAGGUCCAUCCCUGAAUACUUGGAUCAGGCAAGAGUUCAAAAACUUUUGUUAUUUGGUCUGGAGGGAUCUAGAACUAGCACCAUCUUCAAGCAGGCCAAGUUCUUAUAUGGGAACGAGUUCACUCCCGAGGAGGUGCAGAACAUGAAGCUCAUGAUUCAAAGCAAUAUGUACAAGUACUUAAGUAUAUCACAUGUGGAAUCUGAUGGAUACAACCAUGGAGGAGCAAAAGAAAUAUCAGAAUGUAACUAGUCGCAUAGCUACUUUAGAAUUUGAAAUCACUGAGCC
Molecule: long non-coding RNA, 468 nt
Organism: Rosa chinensis
Lineage: Eukaryota; Viridiplantae; Streptophyta; Magnoliopsida; Rosales; Rosaceae
Exons: 3
Source: RefSeq, a predicted model, not a curated record